UGUUCACCGAGAAAAGGUUUGCACCACCGGAACAGCCGGUUUAAGCCAUCUUAAAGCAUUUUAAAGAUGUUGACGGAUUGUGUUCACCGAGUGAAAGUUUGCACCACCGGAACAGCCGGUUUAAGCUAUCUUAAAGCAAUUUAAAGAUGGUGACGGAUUGUGUUCACCGAGAAAAAGUUCGCACCACCGGAACUGCCGGUUUAAGCCAUCUUAAAGCAUUUUAAAGAUGGUGACGCAUUGUGGUCACCGAGAAAAAGAUUGCACCAGCGGAACAGCCGGUAUAAGCCAUCUUACAGCAUUUUAAAGAUGCUGACGAAUUGUUUACAGGAAAGGAGUUGGCAGCNCCGGAGGAGCCGGUUCGGGUCAUUUUAAAGCAGUCUAAAGAUGGUGACGCAUUGUGUUCACCGAGUGAAAGUUUGCACCACCGGAACAGCCGGUUUAAGCCAUCUGAAAGCAUUUUAAAGAUGGUGACGGAUUGUGUUCACCGAGAAAAAGUUUGCACCACCGGAACUGCCGGUUUAAGCCAUCUUAAAGCAUUUUAAAGGUG
Molecule: long non-coding RNA, 547 nt
Organism: Pseudomyrmex gracilis
Lineage: Eukaryota; Metazoa; Arthropoda; Insecta; Hymenoptera; Formicidae
Exons: 7
Source: RefSeq, a predicted model, not a curated record